RNAcentral lists this ribosomal RNA (253 nucleotides) under uncultured bacterium. RNAcentral describes it as "partial 16S ribosomal RNA". It matches the Rfam family "Bacterial small subunit ribosomal RNA", at positions 524 to 776 of the family's 1533-position model. The record is from RNAcentral.
UACGAAGGGGGCUAGCGUUGUUCGGAUUUACUGGGCGUAAAGCGCACGUAGGCGGAUUGUUAAGUCGGGGGUGAAAUCCUGGAGCUCAACUCCAGAACUGCCCUUGAUACUGAGGAGCUUGAGUCUGGGAGAGGUGAGUGGAACUGCGAGUGUAGAGGUGAAAUUCGUAGAUAUUCGCAAGAACACCAGUGGCGAAGGCGGCUCACUGGCCCGGUACUGACGCUGAGGUGCGAAAGCGUGGGGAGCAAACAGG